Thunnus maccoyii (southern bluefin tuna) is the source of this 446-nucleotide long non-coding RNA. RefSeq lists it as uncharacterized. Lineage: Eukaryota; Metazoa; Chordata; Actinopteri; Scombriformes; Scombridae. The transcript has 3 exons. The record is from RefSeq and is a predicted model, not a curated record.
UUACAGUAUUUAUAUACAAUUAAAAUAUUAACGUUUAGAUUUUUUCUCUCAUAAUGCAAAAUGAUAAAGAAGAAGCUUCGGAAAAUAAAGAAAAUAGGAAGAGCGAAGCAAAAUAUCACUUCCGGUAGCCAUCUUUGUUAAUUUAAUAAAUGGAAAUCGUAACUAUAGUUAUGAUGUUGAGCUAAACGUCUUUAUUGCAGAGCAGACUGAGCUUUUUUCUUUCCAGCUGGCUAGAAGAGUCUUUGAGAAAUGUGGAAAUAGCAUCAAAACAACGAUAUCUACAGUAUCAUAUGACCGUAACAAGAAAAAGGAUUGGCAGCUCAUACAGCAGGUGUUUUCCAUCAUCUGUCAAAGGUCACCUCAGGGGCGAUGUAGUCGGGUGUCCCACAGAAGGUGGAGGUCCGCAAGUCGAGCUGCAUGUUCUCCUUACACAUGCCAAAGUCCGC